RNAcentral lists this long non-coding RNA (738 nucleotides) under Mytilus galloprovincialis (Mediterranean mussel). Lineage: Eukaryota; Metazoa; Mollusca; Bivalvia; Mytilida; Mytilidae. The record is from RNAcentral.
GUUUGCUAUCUCAAAUAAUGAAGAUCUUAUUAUUGUUGUAUCAUUCAUUUAAAUGCCCACAUACGAUGAAAAAAGGGGGUGCUUUAUGUUUUCUGUUCUGUGUUUCAGUUUAUUUGUCCGUCGGGUAUCAUGUUUAGUUUUAAGCAGCUAAUCAUGAAGCACAGUUGUUUAUUAUAAUGUAAACUUUUCAGAUGAUAUAGCAGAUGACGGUUUUGAUUCCGAUUACAUGGUUCACUGAACAAAGAACUGUGAUAGUUUGAAGUUCUCAGAUUAAACGUGAAACAUAGUACAGAUGACAAAUUGCAACUAAGAGCUGAUUCACGAUUCACUGAACAUGUACAUAGGACAGAGUUACAGAGACGGAUUUAGGAGGGGAUGAUGGGGUAGCCUGGGCCCCCCUUUUGGGAGAAAAUUUUGGUUGCUUUAAUAGGAAAUCACUGAAUCAUGACGGUGGGCCAGGUGAGCCAAAAAUUGUAAAAAUCAUCAUUUAAAGGCAAGAACUCCUAUAAGGGGUCAUUUGGUGAUUUCCAUCAAGUUGACUUAUUAGUAAAUCUUAUUGUUCUGGUCAUUUUUACCUUCAAAAUUUAUCUCUAUCUGUUAUAUUUUUCAAAAAACUGUGAAAUAUGCAAAUAUGCUAUUUCAGGGGCAAAAACUUAAAAUUAAAAAAUGUAGGUCAUCUUCAUAUCUGGCCAGAUUUCCUGAAAAUCACGAAAAUUGAUAAUUGAAAACAAUAAACUG